CCAUGAGUGAAAAGUCUGAGACUUUCAUCAGGUCGCAGAACUCAUCUCUCAGACGCUUACGAUCUCUGUUGGUCAGUGUUGCCCAGUAGAACUGAGCUUCAUACUGUGUGUAUAUUUUAUAAAUGUGUUUUAAUUUAUUUUCGUUUAUAUUGUGGUUUUUAUUUUUUUAUUCAUUUAUUCUCAGACACUGUGAAGAAAAAAAAGAAACUAAUUGGUUGUUCACGAUGUCUGUGAGACUUCAUUCAUUUCAUUGGUUGCUAUGUAGAAAUACUGAAAUCCUAUUGGUUGGAGGGAAGCUAGUUCCCACCCCAUCUGGUAGCAGCGCAGUUGAUCCGGACGAGCAGAGAGGAGACACACAGGAGGAGGCGAACUGAGAAAAAUCAUUACUUUAAGGACGAAUGAAGAGCUGGAAAAGCUUUGAGCCAUCCAUGAAUGCACUUGGAAGCGAGGAAGCAUCCAGGAAGUGAUGCUAAAACUCUCCGAAAUUCUUGGCUGGGUUUUCUUUUGUUCCCUUGGUUGAUAACCACUGGUACGCUGAACCCCUGGAUUGAACAUGGAUUCCUCCUUGACCAAAGAGGUGACGAGCUGUCCCAGAACCUGAACCUGAUCCUGAUACCCCGGUGGAGGAACAACCCAUUUCCUCACCUUUAUCACUGCCGUGCCGGUAGGACCCUCGAACCGGAUUUCACAGAAAAGUUAUGCAGAUGCUUGUGGAGAUCCGAGACAUGUUGAAGGAGCUGAAGGUCAUUCAAGCAUAGCCACAGGACACAGCUCUUCCUGACAAGGCUACAACAGUUGAAGAACUUAAAAGUCUUGACGAGUCGCUGAACUCGGUGGAGGAAAGACAAAAACUGAUUCAACGCUUGGCAAUGGUAGACAGAGGAACGAGUAUGGAAACCAAUGUCAAAUAGGUCAUGGACAAGUUGAUGACGCAAGAAGUCCAGGCGGAGUUCAACUUAUGUGGAAGGGGACCUAUAAAGAAGCUAGCUUUAUAUAAUGCUGUUUUAUAUGCGCAGUUUAUAGUCAUUAUUUGCACUGUUUAAAGAAUUGUAAAGAGUAAAUUUGUG
This is a long non-coding RNA of Salarias fasciatus (jewelled blenny), 1067 nucleotides long. RefSeq lists it as uncharacterized. The transcript has 5 exons. The record is from RefSeq and is a predicted model, not a curated record. NCBI's taxonomy places the organism in Eukaryota, Metazoa, Chordata, Actinopteri, Blenniiformes, Blenniidae.